GGAGGAGUGGCCGAGUGGCUUAAGGCGCACGCUUGGAAAGCGUGUGUGCGAAAGCACGCGCAGGUUCGAAUCCUGUCUCCUCCG
This 84-nucleotide transfer RNA is filed under the name Candidatus Woesebacteria bacterium RIFOXYB1_FULL_38_16. Its description in RNAcentral is "tRNA-Ser". It matches the Rfam family "tRNA". From Rfam's summary of the family: Transfer RNA (tRNA) molecules are approximately 80 nucleotides in length. The record is from RNAcentral. Lineage: Bacteria; Candidatus Woeseibacteriota.